UUUCCGUAGGUGAACCUGCGGAAGGAUCAUUACAAAUAAGGUAAAGGGGAAUAUCCCUUUUUACAUUUGCGCUUGUUUUGUUUGACAGAGUAAAUUCAGAUUAGAUAGACAACUUUUAACAAUGGAUCUCUGGGCUCUUACAUCGAUGAAGAACGCAGC
This 159-nucleotide unclassified non-coding RNA is filed under the name plant metagenome. RNAcentral's name for it is "partial contains small subunit ribosomal RNA, internal transcribed spacer 1, and 5.8S ribosomal RNA". The stretch from base 111 to 159 matches the Rfam family "5.8S ribosomal RNA", at positions 1 to 49 of the family's 154-position model. The record is from RNAcentral.